GGCACUGUGGCGGAGUGGUUAACGCGUUGGACUCGAAUUCCUAGGGUAUCCAAUCUCUUCGGGGGCGCAGGUUCGAAUCCUGCCGGUGUCG
Molecule: transfer RNA, 91 nt
Filed under: Uncinocarpus reesii 1704
Lineage: Eukaryota; Fungi; Ascomycota; Eurotiomycetes; Onygenales; Onygenaceae
Rfam family: tRNA
About the family: Transfer RNA (tRNA) molecules are approximately 80 nucleotides in length. Their secondary structure includes four short double-helical elements and three loops (D, anti-codon, and T loops).
Source: Rfam by way of RNAcentral